CAGUGAAUGACAUUGCUGAUAUCUGGUGCAUGGAGAAAAUCACACACACCUGCUGAAUUCCUUACCCCUGUAGGUGAGGGGUAUCUAGUUAUCAUUCUGUCCUAACUCCAUGGAAUCCCAUGAAGCUAAGCCAGCAAAACUGUCCAUGAUAUUUAGCUCAUUAACAGUGAUCAAAGCAAUGGAGCUUGCUUUGGGAUACUAGGGUUAUGUUUUGUAAUAAAAUUUUGCGGUUUUCUCUACCCAGACUCUGGAACAUAAAUCACAGCUUGAACUAAAAAGCAGUCUGUGACAUUACAAAUAUACAGAUAUCCCUCUUCCUCUCUGAAAAAAAGAAAUUGGGGUAAAUAAAUUUUUAAAGGAUAAAAUUUUCUGCCUGGGAAGAGAUUCUGUUGCAAAAAAGCAACUACAUAGCGAUACUUCAUGAAUUGUUGUGAAGACCAGACCCGUAGUAUGAAAUGAUGCUCGGAGCCACUAGAGGAUAUUUUGCUGACUGGUUUGUACCUGAAGUUCACUCAUAGAAGAUUUCUCUCUUGGAAUUCAAGAUAACUCAGGCCAAAUCCAUAAAAAACCCCAAGAAGCUGCAGUCCAGAAGUAUCUCCAAGAUCACAGCAACUGGAAAACACAAACUUCCACUCUGAACACCUUGAGGAAGGCUGGAGACAGUGUGGCCCCAGCCCCAGGCUACAGCACACUUUUACUCAGCAUAGCCCAAUCACAGGCAAAUACAUCUGUAUCAAAAUCCAGGACUGUUUUAAUUUGCAUGUGUUUGUCAAUAACCACGAGUGACAAAGAAAACACAAGUGGAAUUGCUGAUGUCACACCCCCUUCACAGAAAGCAUAAGUGAUAGAAAAGUAAGAGGAUUUUGUUCCAGCUGCAUCUCCUGAAAGUCCCAUCGUUACGGAUGUUCUUCUGAGCCAGAGAUACUGCUGUGUAAUUUGUUCUGUAUCUGUAGCUGAAAUAGGUUUAUUUAAAUUUUUCAUUUAUCCAUAUUUGUCUGUUUUAAAGCCUGUGCUAAACCCUUCAUGCUUACAGAACUUCUCUGCCA
RNAcentral lists this long non-coding RNA (1046 nucleotides) under Cyanistes caeruleus (blue tit). RNAcentral's name for it is "lncRNA (ENSCCEG00000008580.1)". Lineage: Eukaryota; Metazoa; Chordata; Aves; Passeriformes; Paridae. The record is from RNAcentral.